Manduca sexta (tobacco hornworm) is the source of this 489-nucleotide long non-coding RNA. RefSeq lists it as uncharacterized. The transcript is spliced from 2 exons. The record is from RefSeq and is a predicted model, not a curated record. Lineage: Eukaryota; Metazoa; Arthropoda; Insecta; Lepidoptera; Sphingidae.
UUUAUAGGGCGUGUAUCAAAUUGAAUUCAGUAAAUCCAACAGUUAUCAUGAAUUUUAAAAUCGGACUUGUUUUAUUCGUUGUUUUUGGAAUGACAACGGCCCGUCGACGACGAAUCAUGCAAGAACCUAAUCCUACAAUAGUAAUAGUUCAGAACAUAAUAACGCCAGAUAUUGAUGUUAAGGAUACCAGAAUGGACUGUUUACCGUGCGCUGCAAAACCGAUAUGCGGUAAAAGCACGAAGUGUAGAGAGGAAUUGAUUCUACCUCCAUCUAUAACAGAGCUUCCUUUCGGCCUUGGAUAUUUUCCUGCUGCCUUGCCAUUAGUCUCGCGUUGUUUCCAACCGGAUUGCAUGUGUACCGAGGCGACCAUUCCAGUAACAAAUAGAUGUAGUUGCAUGUCUCUUGCAAGUCCAGUGUUUCCCGACUAUGAAUGUUUAGUACGACCUAUAAUUUUGUAAGAAUAUUUAUUCAAUAAAAUUGUUAUGUUGA